AUACUCUGGUUUCUCUUCAGAUAACAUAAACCUUUGACCCAAAAAUUUCUAUGGAGAGGAACAACUCAGAGCUUUCAACUAAUUUUUUGAGGCCUUGCCUUGGUGGGGCU
Molecule: small nuclear RNA, 110 nt
Filed under: Carlito syrichta (Philippine tarsier)
Lineage: Eukaryota; Metazoa; Chordata; Mammalia; Primates; Tarsiidae
Description: U5 spliceosomal RNA (ENSTSYG00000026623.1)
Rfam family: U5 spliceosomal RNA
About the family: U5 RNA is a component of both types of known spliceosome. The precise function of this molecule is unknown, though it is known that the 5' loop is required for splice site selection and p220 binding, and that both the 3' stem-loop and the Sm site are important for Sm protein binding and cap methylation.
Source: Rfam by way of RNAcentral